This 23-nucleotide non-coding RNA is filed under the name Cricetulus griseus (Chinese hamster). Lineage: Eukaryota; Metazoa; Chordata; Mammalia; Rodentia; Cricetidae. The record is from RNAcentral.
AGCUUUGGGUGCUGACGGUGGGG